UCGGCAUUUAACAUAUUUCGAUUCCAUCGAAUAGGUGUUUUACUCUCGCAGGGCGUUCAACAUAUUUUUCGUAUUUUGUUUUCAAGAAAUAAACCUUUUUAUCUAUAUCUAAUGAAAUCAAUCAGUAUGUAAACAUUUUUAAAUAUUCCACGAUGUGUAAUGUCCGUAUAAUGCAAUGUUAUUGGGAGCCUGACAUAAUAUGCUAUGGUGCAUUUAUUGUUAGACACACAGGUCCGCCUUAGUCGUUGUAAUAUUUCUCUCAUUCGAAUUCAAGUUCUAUAUUUGAGUAUGAGACGAGCUCGCACAUCGAAUGUGCUAUCUAAAUUAAUAUCUGGAUCGAUAGAGUGUACCUAGUAUAACUAGAAAUACAUUAUGCAUACACGCGUGUACGUAGUCGUAAGGUAAGGGUAAAGAAUUACGAAAAACAAGAAUAAAUCUCGGUCCGUACGUUGUUGACGUAGAAGGUAAAAAGGUGAGCCAAAAAAACGGGGACAAAAAAUGUAAAUGAUAUUUCAUAAGUGUAGAGAUAUAACUAUACGUACGUUGAUCGUGCCGUAUAUAUUAUACGAAGUUAUAUACUUGCGUAUAUCACAGAUAUAUCCAAUCACACGCUAUGUGCAUGAUUGUGCGCAUUAAUUUCAUCCUUAUACCUACCUACUUUGCAAUGAAGUUUGCAUUAAUGAUGGAUUGAAAAAAAAUUCAUGAAAAACCCGAAUAAAAAUUCGCUGAUCGUAUGCAAUUUGUAUACGCAUGUGUGUAUGUAUGAUUAAUAUUAACGAGCCAACAUCGUGAUGCAUGAGAUGACAGGAAAAUUAUCGUUUUUCUACCUCUGGGUAACCGUACCAUACACAAACUACCAUAAUGCAUAUUCUUUUACGAUAUGGAAGCGCUUUUCAAAACUCAAAGGAACAUCAAUUAAACCUAACUUAUAGUUUACGCAGUGAAGAUACAAAUAAAUAUUUCCAUGGAAUUGAUGAUAAUGCAAACUAUUUAUCGUUCAUCCCUAUGCAGAGGGUAUUUUGCAUUGUUGAUAUUUCUCAAAAAUGUCGAUGUUAUAAACAGAACCUACGUUUCACCGAAGCAUUGACGAUCAAGAUGCCUGAAACUUUCUUAUAAAUCGUAAAUCGGUAUCCAUACUUGCUUCGUUGCGCUUGGUUGCACACCCCAGAGUUUUAUUAUUACUUGAGAGGCUUUGACCACUCCGGGAUUAGUCAUGAACAUUUUGCUGCAUACAACGGGUUGAAGAAGCCUUUUAAUAGUGCUUCAGGUGCAAGGACUGUUCGCAACAUGUUAUAAAGAAUUAAAAUCCCUGAGUCAAAUAAACAGAAUAACGCAACGAAAAGCCGUGCGAACGGAUGUACGGUCUGCACUCUUACGUAACCCAUGAACCAGCAUUACCAUACCUACUAACCUUCUACACAGACACUCCAGGUUCUUUUGGUACUCAAUCUUUAUCACUUUCCAGUGCAUGCAUAUAUAUUUGAGAACAUCAUUGGACGUUAUAUCUAAGACGGAUGUCUUACAUGUAAAACAGAAAAAUAUUGUACAGGGGGUUCUCCAGGUCUUCAAGGUUCCGCAGACAUCCUGGCUUACGAGACUACUGCGCAUAAGCCAAUUCAAAAAAGUUUAUAUAACCCGUCCCAAUUACGUCGAUUUACCAUUCGGCUCUGCACUUGCGGAUUCAAUCAGGAUUGGAUCAGGCCAAGAUUGCCCGGCGGGCUUCGAGUGUCCUGCAGGUAUACUUGGUCAGCCAUGACGGUCAAAACAAAAAGAGAAACUUGGAACGGCGUGGCCAUAGCGCCGUUGGAUCUCGUUCUCCCGGUACCCCGCCGACCCUUCGGACACAGUGGCCAGUGGCCGGCGGCUGUUCUUACGGGUACUCCCACUUCAGCUCUCCUGCGUAGAUAGAGUUACGUAACCUUCGCGGUGCUUGGUCCAACCUGGUCACCGGCCAACCGAGUCUGGAUGUAGGUGAGUGUACGUGUAUACUGUCUCUAUCCAUACGUACAGGUAGGUACCGCAUCAUCCACUAUUUGCAAAUUGUUGUUCAUUGGCCUCACGAUCCGAUUAUACAGUUGAUAUGUUGAUCGAAGAAAAAUUCCUCUCAUUUUUCCAAUUCUCGCUUCAUGAGGGACAUUGAAAAAAUAAACUCGACUUCGGGAAGUUCGAAAUAUUAAUCCUAGAUUGUCACGUGCUGUCCACGUCCAGAAUUUUGUCGUGAAUGAGGUUCUCUGCUGAAAAUCUUGCCCCAGCCUUUACAUCGGCAUCAAUAAAUCAGAUGGAAGUGGAUCAUAAAUUAUAAUGAGGCUGAACGUUGGUAACAUUAACCUAACGAAAUGUCGGGGAAAAAUUGUUACAGCGCAAUUUUAGAAUGGAUUUUUAAGGAGCUGGUUUUUCAAAAUAAAAGUAUGUCUUGGUUA
Long non-coding RNA from Neodiprion fabricii, 2420 nucleotides. RefSeq lists it as uncharacterized. The record is from RefSeq and is a predicted model, not a curated record. The transcript is spliced from 2 exons. Lineage: Eukaryota; Metazoa; Arthropoda; Insecta; Hymenoptera; Diprionidae.